UACAGAGGGUGCGAGCGUUAAUCGGAAUUACUGGGCGUAAAGCGUGCGUAGACGGUUAUUUAAGUCGGGUGUGAAAGCCCCGGGCUCAACCUGGGAAUUGCAUUCGAGACUGAAUAGCUAGGGUACGGUAGAGGGAAGUGGAAUUUCCGGUGUAGCGGUGAAAUGCGUAGAUAUCAGGAGGAACACCGGUGGCGAAGGCGGGUCUCUGGGCCGAUACUGACGCUGAGGAGCGAAAGCCAGGGGAGCAAACGGG
This 253-nucleotide ribosomal RNA is filed under the name uncultured bacterium. Its description in RNAcentral is "partial 16S ribosomal RNA". It matches the Rfam family "Bacterial small subunit ribosomal RNA", at positions 524 to 776 of the family's 1533-position model. The record is from RNAcentral.